GAUGAACGCUGGCGGCGUGCCUAAUACAUGCAAGUCGAACGCACAGCGAGAGGUGCUUGCACCUUUCAAGUGAGUGGCGAACGGGUGAGUAACACGUGGACAACCUGCCUCAAGGGCGUGGGGAUAACAUUUGGAAACAGAUGCUAAUACCGAAUAAAACUCAGUGUCGGCAUGACACAAAGUUAAAAGGCGCUUUGGCGUCACCUAGAGAUGGAUCCGCGG
RNAcentral lists this ribosomal RNA (222 nucleotides) under uncultured bacterium. RNAcentral describes it as "partial 16S ribosomal RNA". It matches the Rfam family "Bacterial small subunit ribosomal RNA", at positions 28 to 236 of the family's 1533-position model. The record is from RNAcentral.